Long non-coding RNA from Drosophila navojoa, 133 nucleotides. The record is from RefSeq and is a predicted model, not a curated record. NCBI's taxonomy places the organism in Eukaryota, Metazoa, Arthropoda, Insecta, Diptera, Drosophilidae.
UCAUUUUGUCUUUAAAGAUUCACUGUGGUAUAGUUCUGCCUGUCAAAAUGGAUUCGAAAAAGAUGAAGACCUUUAUUAACGCCGAAGAAGAUCAUUUGGUAUCAAAAUCAAGUAAAACUACAAUAGUAUCGGU